CAGUCGCACGGGAAUACGGAGGGCGCGAGCGUUACCCGGAUUUACUGGGCGUAAAGGGCGUGUAGGCGGCCUGGGGCGUCCCAUGUGAAAGGCCACGGCUCAACCGUGGAGGAGCGUGGGAUACGCUCAGGCUAGAGGGUGGGAGAGGGUGGUGGAAUUCCCGGAGUAGCGGUGAAAUGCGCAGAUACCGGGAGGAACGCCGAUGGCGAAGGCAGCCACCUGGUCCACUUCUGACGCUGAGGCGCGAAAGCGUGGGGAGCAAACCGGAUUAGAUACCCGUGUAGUCCCUGUCUCUUAUACA
This 301-nucleotide ribosomal RNA is filed under the name uncultured bacterium. RNAcentral's name for it is "partial 16S ribosomal RNA". It matches the Rfam family "Bacterial small subunit ribosomal RNA", at positions 509 to 808 of the family's 1533-position model. The record is from RNAcentral.